This 426-nucleotide ribosomal RNA is filed under the name uncultured bacterium. Its description in RNAcentral is "bacterial SSU rRNA". It matches the Rfam family "Bacterial small subunit ribosomal RNA", at positions 488 to 916 of the family's 1533-position model. The record is from RNAcentral.
ACCCCGGCUAACUCCGUGCCAGCAGCCGCGGUAAUACGGAGGGGGUUAGCGUUGUUCGGAAUUACUGGGCGUAAAGCGCGCGUAGGCGGACCAGAAAGUUGGGGGUGAAAUCCCGGGGCUCAACCCCGGAACGGCCUCCAAAACUCCUGGUCUUGAGUUCGAGAGAGGUGAGUGGAAUUCCGAGUGUAGAGGUGAAAUUCGUAGAUAUUCGGAGGAACACCAGUGGCGAAGGCGGCUCACUGGCUCGAUACUGACGCUGAGGUGCGAAAGUGUGGGGAGCAAACAGGAUUAGAUACCCUGGUAGUCCACACCGUAAACGAUGAAUGCCAGUCGUCGGGUAGCAUGCUGCUCGGUGACACACCUAACGGAUUAAGCAUUCCGCCUGGGGAGUACGGUCGCAAGAUUAAAACUCAAAGGAAUUGACGG